AUUGAACGCUGGCGGCAUGCUUUACACAUGCAAGUCGAACGGCAGCGCGGGCUUCGGCCUGGCGGCGAGUGGCGAACGGGUGAGUAAUGCAUCGGAACGUGCCCAGUAGUGGGGGAUAGCCCGGCGAAAGCCGGAUUAAUACCGCAUACGACCUGAGGGUGAAAGCGGGGGACCGAAAGGCCUCGCGCUAUUGGAGCGGCCGCUGUCGGCUUAGCUAGUUGGUGGGGUAACGGCUCACCAAGGCGACGAUCCGUAGCUGGUCUGCCAGGACGACCAGCCACACUGGGACUGAGACACGGCCCAGCCUCCUACGGGAGGCAGCAGUGGGGAAUUUUCGACAAUGGGCGCAACCCUGAUCCAGCCAUGCCGCGUGCGGGAAGAGGGCCUUCGGGUUGUAAACCGCUUUUGUUCGGGAAGAAAGCCUCUGGGCUAAUACCCCGGGGGGAUGACGGUACCGGAAGAAUAAGCAUCGGCUAACUACGUG
RNAcentral lists this ribosomal RNA (484 nucleotides) under uncultured bacterium. Its description in RNAcentral is "partial 16S ribosomal RNA". It matches the Rfam family "Bacterial small subunit ribosomal RNA", at positions 28 to 507 of the family's 1533-position model. The record is from RNAcentral.